AGAAAGAACUACAGAUCCCUAGUAACUGCGAGUGAACGCGGAAACGUCAAAGUUUAAAAGCUGGGACUGCGCUGACCGAGUGUAAUCUAGAGAAGUGGUUAACCGCGCUUGGAACCGUGUACAAGUCUCUCGGAAUGGAACGCUCAUGGAGGGUGAGAACCCCGUCUUUGACACGGACUACCAGGGCUUUGUGAUGCGCUCUCAAAGAGCGAGUUGUUUGGGAAUGCAGCUCAAAAUGGGUGGUAAAUUCCAUCUAAAGCUAAAUAUGGCGAGAGACCGAUAGCGAACAAGUACCGUGAGGGAAAGAUGAAAAGAACUUUGGAAAGAGAGUUAUGCCCANNAAUCAACCUUGCUUUUUGCGGGUGUACUUCCUGGCCGANDGGCCAGCAUCAGUUUUGGCCGUUGGAAAAAGGUUAGGGGAAUGUGGCAUCUUCGAUGUGUUAUAGCCCUAGCCGCAUACAACGGCUGGGAACUGAGGACUCAGCACGCCGCAAGGCCGGGCUUUGCCCACGUACGUGCGUUAGGAUGCUGGCAUAAUGGCCUUAAGCGACCCGUCUUGAAACACGGACCAAGGAGCCGGCAGUAGUUUGGGUGGAAAACCCGAGGCGGUAAUGAAAGUGAAAGUGAGAUCCCUGUCGCGGGGAGCAUCGACGCCCGGUUCAGACCUUUUGUGACGACUCCGCGGUAGAGCAUGUAU
RNAcentral lists this ribosomal RNA (697 nucleotides) under Basidiomycota sp. CBS 930.72. RNAcentral describes it as "eukaryotic LSU rRNA". It matches the Rfam family "Eukaryotic large subunit ribosomal RNA", at positions 56 to 807 of the family's 3401-position model. The record is from RNAcentral. Lineage: Eukaryota; Fungi; Basidiomycota.